AUUCUGUAGCAAGGUUAACCGUAUAGGGGAGCCGGAGGGAAACCGAGUCUUAAUUGGGCGUUAAGUUGCAGGGUAUAGACCCGAAACCCGGUGAUCUAGCCAUGGGCAGGUUGAAGGUUGGGUAACACUAACUGGAGGACCGAACCGACUAAUGUUGAAAAAUUAGCGGAUGACCUGUGGCUGGGGGUGAAAGGCCAAUCAAACCGGGAGAUAGCUGGUUCUCCCCGAAAGCUAUUUAGGUAGCGCCUCGUGAAUUCAUCUCCGGGGGUAGAGCACUGUUUCGGCUAGGGGGCCAUCCCGGCUUACCAACCCGAUGCAAACUGCGAAUACCGGAGAAUGUUAUCACGGGAGACACACGGCGGGUGCUAACGUCCGUCGUGAAGAGGGAAACAACCCAGACCGCCAGCUAAGGUCCCAAAGUCAUGGUUAAGUGGGAAACGAUGUGGGAAGGCCCAGACAGCCAGGAUGUUGGCUUAGAAGCAGCCAUCAUUUAAAGAAAGCGUAAUAGCUCACUGGUCGAGUCGGCCUGCGCGGAAGAUGUAACGGGGCUAAACCAUGCACCGAAGCUGCGGCAGCGAACGUAUCACCCAAGACAACUUUACGGAGUUGACGAUUGACGGAGCGAAGCGACGUCAAAGCGUUCAUUAAAGUCGAGUUGGCUUAGGGAUACGUUCGUUGGGUAGGGGAGCGUUCUGUAAGCCUGUGAAGGUGUGUCGUGAGGCAUGCUGGAGGUAUCAGAAGUGCGAAUGCUGACAUAAGUAACGAUAAAGCGGGUGAAAAGCCCGCUCGCCGGAAGACCAAGGGUUCCUGUCCAACGUUAAUCGGGGCAGGGUGAGUCGACCCCUAAGGCGAGGCCGAAAGGCGUAGUCGAUGGGAAACGGGUUAAUAUUCCCGUACUUGGUGUUACUGCGAAGGGGGGACGGAGAAGGCUAUGUUGGCCGGGCGACGGUUGUCCCGGUUUAAGCGUGUAGGUGUGUGUUCCAGGUAAAUCCGGUU
RNAcentral lists this ribosomal RNA (996 nucleotides) under Salmonella enterica subsp. enterica serovar Typhimurium. Its description in RNAcentral is "partial 23S ribosomal RNA". It matches the Rfam family "Bacterial large subunit ribosomal RNA", at positions 632 to 1547 of the family's 2925-position model. The record is from RNAcentral. Lineage: Bacteria; Pseudomonadati; Pseudomonadota; Gammaproteobacteria; Enterobacterales; Enterobacteriaceae.